GGCGAGUGGCGGACGGGUGAGGAAUGCAUCGGAAUCUACUCUUUCGUGGGGGAUAACGUAGGGAAACUUACGCUAAUACCGCAUACGACCUACGGGUGAAAGCCGGGGACCUUCGGGCCUGGCGCGAAAGAAUGAGCCGAUGCCCGAUUAGCUAGUUGGCGGGGUAAGAGCCCACCAAGGCGACGAUCGGUAGCUGGUCUGAGAGGAUGAUCAGCCACACUGGAACUGAGACACGGUCCAGACUCCUACGGGAGGCAGCAGUGGGGAAUAUUGGACAAUGGGCGCAAGCCUGAUCCAGCCAUACCGCGUGGGUGAAGAAGGCCUUCGGGUUGUAAAGCCCUUUUGUUGGGAAAGAAAAGCAGUCGGUUAAUACCCGAUUGUUCUGACGGUACCCAAAGAAUAAGCACCGGCUAACUUCGUGCCAGCAGCCGCGGUAAUACGAAGGGUGCAAGCGUUACUCGGAAUUACUGGGCGUAAAGCGUGCGUAGGUGGUUGAUUAAGUCUGUCGUGAAAGCCCUGGGCUCAACCUGGGAAUUGCGAUGGAAACUGGUUGACUAGAGUGUGGCAGA
RNAcentral lists this ribosomal RNA (569 nucleotides) under Stenotrophomonas sp. enrichment culture clone CH2_1_6. Its description in RNAcentral is "bacterial SSU rRNA". It matches the Rfam family "Bacterial small subunit ribosomal RNA", at positions 90 to 655 of the family's 1533-position model. Lineage: Bacteria; Pseudomonadati; Pseudomonadota; Gammaproteobacteria; Lysobacterales; Lysobacteraceae. The record is from RNAcentral.